AUUGAACGCUGGCGGCAGGCCUAACACAUGCAAGUCGAGCGCGAAAAUUCCUUCGGGGAUGAGUAGAGCGGCGGACGGGUGAGUAAUGCGCAGAAAUCUGCCCAGUAGUGGGGGACAACCUGGUGAAAACCAGGCUAAUACCGCAUACGCCUACGGGGAAGGCAGGGAUCUUCGGACCUUGCGCUAUUGGAUGAGUCUGCGUCGGAUUAGCUUGUUGGUGAGGUAAUGGCUCACCAAGGCGACAAUCCGUAGCUGGUCUGAGAGGAUGAUCAGCCACACUGGGACUGAGACACGGCCCAGACUCCUACGGGAGGCAGCAGUGGGGAAUAUUGGACAAUGGGCGAAAGCCUGAUCCAGCCAUGCCGCGUGUAGUGAAGAAGGCUCUAGGGUUGUAAAGCACUUUCAGUGGGGAAGAAAGCUUGUUAGCUAAUAACUGACGAGUGUGACAUUACCCACAGAAGAAGCACCGGU
This 471-nucleotide ribosomal RNA is filed under the name uncultured bacterium. Its description in RNAcentral is "bacterial SSU rRNA". It matches the Rfam family "Bacterial small subunit ribosomal RNA", at positions 30 to 497 of the family's 1533-position model. The record is from RNAcentral.